CUUCGGCCCGAGUUGUAAUUUGCAGAGGAUGUUUAUGGUGCAGUACCUUCCGAGUUCCCUGGAACGGGACGCCACAGAGGGUGAGAGCCCCGUCUGGUUGGAUACUAAGCCUGUGUUAAACUCCUUCAACGAGUCGAGUAGUUUGGGAAUGCUGCUCUAAAUGGGAGGUAUAUCUCUUCUAAAGCUAAAUAUUGGCCAGAGACCGAUAGCGCACAAGUAGAGUGAUCGAAAGAUGAAAAGCACCUUGAAAAGGGGGUUAAACAGUACGUGAAAUUGUUGAAAGGGAAGCGUUUAUGACCAGACUUGUGCCGUGUGGCUCAUCCGAGGUUCUCCCCGGUGCACUCCACACGGUUCAGGCCAACAUCGGUUUUCGCUGGGGGAUAAGAGCAGUAGGAACGUAGCUCCCUUCGGGGAGUGUUAUAGC
RNAcentral lists this ribosomal RNA (424 nucleotides) under Ophiognomonia micromegala. RNAcentral describes it as "eukaryotic LSU rRNA". It matches the Rfam family "Eukaryotic large subunit ribosomal RNA", at positions 131 to 562 of the family's 3401-position model. Lineage: Eukaryota; Fungi; Ascomycota; Sordariomycetes; Diaporthales; Gnomoniaceae. The record is from RNAcentral.